GACGAACGCUGGCGGCGUGCUUAACACAUGCAAGUCGAACGGAAAGGCCCUGCUUUUGUGGGGUGCUCGAGUGGCGAACGGGUGAGUAACACGUGAGUAACCUGCCCUUGACUUUGGGAUAACUUCAGGAAACUGGGGCUAAUACCGGAUAGGAGCUCCUGCUGCAUGGUGGGGGUUGGAAAGUUUCGGCGGUUGGGGAUGGACUCGCGGCUUAUCAGCUUGUUGGUGGGGUAGUGGCUUACCAAGGCUUUGACGGGUAGCCGGCCUGAGAGGGUGACCGGCGACAUGGGGACUGAGGUACGGCGCAGACUGCUACGGGAGGCAGCGGUGGGGAAGAUUGCACAAUGGGCGGAAGCCUGAUGCUGCAACGCCGCGUGCGGGAUGACGGCCUUCGGGUUGUAAACCGCUUUCGCCUGUGACGAAGCGUGAGUGACGGUAAUGGGUAAAGAAGCACCGGCUAACUACGUG
This 468-nucleotide ribosomal RNA is filed under the name uncultured bacterium. RNAcentral describes it as "partial 16S ribosomal RNA". It matches the Rfam family "Bacterial small subunit ribosomal RNA", at positions 28 to 507 of the family's 1533-position model. The record is from RNAcentral.